This 269-nucleotide ribosomal RNA is filed under the name uncultured bacterium. RNAcentral describes it as "partial 16S ribosomal RNA". It matches the Rfam family "Bacterial small subunit ribosomal RNA", at positions 338 to 604 of the family's 1533-position model. The record is from RNAcentral.
CCUACGGGAGGCAGCAGUGAGGAAUAUUGGUCAAUGGGCGCGAGCCUGAACCAGCCAAGUAGCGUGAAGGAUGACCGCCCUACGGGUUGUAAACUUCUUUUAUAAAGGAAUAAAGUGAGGCACGUGUGCCUUUUUGUAUGUACUUUAUGAAUAAGGAUCGGCUAACUCCGUGCCAGCAGCCGCGGUAAUACGGAGGAUCCGAGCGUUAUCCGGAUUUACUGGGUGUAAAGGGAGCGUAGACGGCAGUGCAAGUCUGGAGUGAAAGGCGG